This 917-nucleotide ribosomal RNA is filed under the name Tricholoma terreum. RNAcentral's name for it is "eukaryotic LSU rRNA". It matches the Rfam family "Eukaryotic large subunit ribosomal RNA", at positions 50 to 952 of the family's 3401-position model. The record is from RNAcentral. Lineage: Eukaryota; Fungi; Basidiomycota; Agaricomycetes; Agaricales; Tricholomataceae.
ACGGAGCAGAACUAACAAGGAUUCCCCUAGUAACUGCGAGUGAAGCGGGAAAAGCUCAAAUUUAAAAUCUGAGGGUCUUGUUGGCCUUCCGAGUUGUAAUCUAGAGAAGUGCUAUCCGCGCUGGACCGUGUACAAGUCUCCUGGAACGGAGCGUCAUAGAGGGUGAGAAUCCCGUCUUUGACACGGACUACCAGGGCUUUGUGUGAUACGCUCUCAAAGAGUCGAGUUGUUUGGGAAUGCAGCUCUAAAUGGGUGGUAAAUUCCAUCUAAAGCUAAAUAUUGGCGAGAGACCGAUAGCGAACAAGUACCGUGAGGGAAAGAUGAAAAGAACUUUGGAAAGAGAGUUAAAAAGUACGUGAAAUUGUUGAAAGGGAAACGCUUGAAGUCAGUCGCAUUGGCCAGGGAUCAACCUUGCUUUUGCUUGGUUUAUUUUCUGGUUAAUGGGUCAGCAUCAAUUUUGAUCGGUGGAAAAAGAUCAAGGGAAUGUGGCAUCUUCGGAUGUGUUUUAUAGCCUUUGGUUGUAUACAUCGAUUGGGAUUGAGGAACUCAGCACGCCGCAAGGCCGGGUUUUUAACCACGUACGUGCUUAGGAUGCUGGCAUAAUGGCUUUAAUCGACCCGUCUUGAAACACGGACCAAGGAGUCUAACAUGCACGCGAGUGUUUGGGUGGAAAACCCGAGCGCGUAAUGAAAGUGAAAAUUGAGAUCCCUGUCGUGGGGAGCAUCGAUGCCCGGACCAGAUCUUUUGUGACGGUUCCGCGGUUGAGCGUGUAUGCUGGGACCCGAAAGAUGGUGAACUAUGCCUGAAUAGGGUGAAGCCAGAGGAAACUCUGGUGGAGGCUCGUAGCGAUUCUGACGUGCAAAUCGAUCGUCAAAUUUGGGUAUAGGGGCGAAAGACUAAUCGAACCAUCAGUGGCU